GUAUCAGAAGUGCGAAUGCUGACAUGAGUAACGAUAAAGGGGGUGAAAAACCUCCUCGCCGGAAGACCAAGGGUUCCUGUCCAACGUUAAUCGGGGCAGGGUAAGUCGACCCCUAAGGCGAGGCCGAAAGGCGUAGUCGAUGGGAAACGGGUUAAUAUUCCCGUACUUCUUACAAUUGCGAUGGGGGGACGGAGAAGGCUAGGUGGGCCUGGCGACGGUUGUCCAGGUUCAAGUGCGUAGGCUUAAGAGUUAGGUAAAUCCGGCUCUUUUUAAGGCUGAGACACGACGUCGAGCUACUACGGUAGUGAAGUCAUUGAUGCCAUGCUUCCAGGAAAAGCCUCUAAGCUUCAGAUUGUAAGGAAUCGUACCCCAAACCGACACAGGUGGUCGGGUAGAGAAUACCAAGGCGCUUGAGAGAACUCGGGUGAAGGAACUAGGCAAAAUGGUACCGUAACUUCGGGAGAAGGUACGCUCUCGACGGUGAAGUCCCUCGCGGAUGGAGCUAUUGAGAGUCGCAGAUACCAGGUGGCUGCAACUGUUUAUUAAAAACA
RNAcentral lists this ribosomal RNA (551 nucleotides) under Vibrio parahaemolyticus. RNAcentral's name for it is "partial 23S ribosomal RNA". It matches the Rfam family "Bacterial large subunit ribosomal RNA", at positions 1279 to 1815 of the family's 2925-position model. The record is from RNAcentral. Lineage: Bacteria; Pseudomonadati; Pseudomonadota; Gammaproteobacteria; Vibrionales; Vibrionaceae.